Molecule: ribosomal RNA, 440 nt
Filed under: uncultured bacterium
Lineage: Bacteria
Description: partial 16S ribosomal RNA
Rfam family: Bacterial small subunit ribosomal RNA
Source: RNAcentral
CCUACGGGAGGCAGCAGUGGGGAAUAUUGCACAAUGGGGGAAACCCUGAUGCAGCGACGCCGCGUGAGUGAAGCAGUAAUUCGUUACGUAAAGCUCUAUCUGCAGGGAAGUAAAUGACGGUACCUGAGUAAGAAGCCACGGCUAACUACGUUCCAGCAGCCGCGGUAAGAUGUAGGGAGCAAGCGUUAUCCGGAUUUACUGGGUGUAAAGGGAGCGUAGGCGGUGCGCCAGGUCUGGUGUGAGAUGACGCAGCUGAACCGCGGAAUUGCUUUGGAAACUGGCGAACUAGAGAGCGGAAGGGGUAGGCGGAAUUCCUAGUGUAGUGGUGAAAUGCGUAGAUAUUAGGAGGAACACCGGUGGCGAAGGCGGCUGACUGGACCGUAACUGACGUUGAGGCUCGAAAGCGUGGGGAGCAAACAGGAUUAGAUACCCUGGUAGUC